Molecule: ribosomal RNA, 482 nt
Filed under: uncultured bacterium
Lineage: Bacteria
Description: partial 16S ribosomal RNA
Rfam family: Bacterial small subunit ribosomal RNA
Source: RNAcentral
AUUGAACGCUGGCGGCAUGCUUUACACAUGCAAGCCGAACGGUAACAGGCCGCAAGGUGCUGACGAGUGGCGAACGGGUGAGUAAUGCAUCGGAACGUGCCCAGUCGUGGGGGAUAACUACUCGAAAGAGUAGCUAAUACCGCAUACGAUCUAUGGAUGAAAGCGGGGGACCGUAAGGCCUCGCGCGAUUGGAGCGGCCGAUGUCAGAUUAGGUAGUUGGUGGGGUAAAGGCUCACCAAGCCAACGAUCUGUAGCUGGUCUGAGAGGACGACCAGCCACACUGGGACUGAGACACGGCCCAGACUCCUACGGGAGGCAGCAGUGGGGAAUUUUGGACAAUGGGCGCAAGCCUGAUCCAGCAAUGCCGCGUGCAGGAAGAAGGCCUUCGGGUUGUAAACUGCUUUUGUACGGAACGAAACGGCUCUGGUUAAUACCCGGGGCUAAUGACGGUACCGUAAGAAUAAGCACCGACUAACUACGUG